AUCGUUCUCCCUUUCCCCUUUUCACCCAUCGCCGCCUCUCCGCCGGGCUCCGCCACAAUUCCUCCACCGUAGGCAACGGUUGACGUUUCCUGUCACUAUCCAAUCGAUCCAUUCACGCUCUGUACGCACACUAUCGUACAAACAUCUCCGCCACUCAGGUCGAAUGCUUCUUCACUAAGCUCAUGGAGAAAGAGGUGGAAUUUCUCUCCGAUUCGAAUUGGAUUGAUUCAAUUCGGCAAAUCAGGCUCGAGUCUCUUUCUUUCUCUGCAAUUUCUUCUUCAGUGUUUGAGGAUAUCCAUGUUUUUAGCUACUUAUACUUUCUGCACUUGCUCUUGCUCUUGCUCUGCGCUUCGGGCAUUGAUUCCAUAAGGUAUGUUACAAUAUAUUCAUGCACACAAAAUUAUAAGCUCUUGUUCUUUAGCCUCAUCUUGUUGGUGUUUCAUAAGGAUGAUUUAGUUAUUGACAUUCCUCUCUACAGCAUUAUAAGCUCUUUCUAAGAUGGAAAUUGGAGUGGCACUGGUUGAAUGGCAAAGAUUGAGAGUUUCUGAUAAGUUGAAAGAUGGAACAGUUGUAUCUGAAGCAAGCAGAUGGCAAUGAAUUCACGGUUGAGAAGGCCUUUACUGCUGUGCUCUUGCCAAGGCUGCUAAGACGAUGAAGCAAAACAAAAGAAUUCUACUUACUGCCAAGCCACAAUGUAAAGAUGACACUUUUCAAUUAAACUUGGACUUUUUUGGUAGGGGAGUUCUGCUUUCAUAAAUUUGAGGAUUGUGGCAAGCAAGUCUACUUAUUGGACUGUAGGGUUGCGUAACUCUCUGCCAGCCAUAAUAUAACAGAGCUUGAAAAGAAUUAUUGUUAGGUGGAUUAUCAACCUGAACAUUCCUGCAUGGAUAAUAGCAAUGAAUGGCAAACAAGUCCAUUUAGUUGGGACUUUUGAUAUCUCAUUGAAGAACAUUUUUGAGCAUGAUUAAAGAAAACGUGCCAGAACUUCCUUGAUGUGGAUUUGGCUUGAAAGUAAUGAAAUUCAUUGAUCAGUCGUUGAAGAGUUAGAGACUGAAUUCUCCCUGCCUCUCAAGACUUUUAAG
Non-coding RNA from Salvia hispanica, 1082 nucleotides. The record is from RefSeq and is a predicted model, not a curated record. Lineage: Eukaryota; Viridiplantae; Streptophyta; Magnoliopsida; Lamiales; Lamiaceae.